This 5344-nucleotide long non-coding RNA is filed under the name Homo sapiens (human). RNAcentral's name for it is "HSALNT0267904". The record is from RNAcentral. Lineage: Eukaryota; Metazoa; Chordata; Mammalia; Primates; Hominidae.
CACUUAUCUAUUUCCCAAGACCAAAGAAGACAUUGGACCUUUGUCAAACUCCAACACCUGUUGGGAGAACCUAAGGAAGUUGUUAAGCAAGUGACUGGAGCCCAAUUCCUGCUGCCGCCAAGGAGUCAGGCCUGCUGGCCCUCUCCCCUUUGCCUCUCCUCUUUUACUAUUACAAAGCUGGCCCUUCAAAGCACAGUGCUCUCUGCAAUACAGAAGCCCUCGCUAUCUCUACAGUGGAGAAAAUGUGCGCCACGGGAAAAGGUCAUAGCAUAGAACAAUCUGAAGAGCACUGGUCUGCAUCCCACUUAGAAACCUCCAACUCCAAAUGUCAAUUUUCCUCCUGAGACAGCAUUUCUGGGCUGCUGCCUCCCGCUCCAGAGAGAUGUGCUUCUGGGAAAGUCAACUACACUGUGCAAGAGGUCUGUGAAAUGUGUCGGCACUUCCAUAAAAUAGAUGUAACUGAGGAUCUUCAGUCGGGCCCUCUUCUCCUGCUUAUUCCUUGGCAAAGAAUUUCUAAGAUCCUCCUCUAGCACCCUGGGCACUCAGGAAGUAAAAGCCACCUUUUUCUAGCCACUAGGGAAGAACAAGGGCUGGUGUUUCCCAGUCUGUCCGGAGAGUGACUCUUUACCCAACACAUGGAAGCUACCUGGAUGCUGAGUGAAGAUAAAUAGUGCCGUCUCCUUGGGUCGUUUAAUUCCAAGCAAGGCCCAUAUUGAUUUUGCCUCUCCCUGUACUAACCUGUUCGGUGAUGUACAGCUGAGGACCAUCUGCAUAACGGAGGGUAUAAUACUCUGGGUUUGGCAACGACCACCUAUGCAAGAGAAAAACAGUAUAUCCCACUUGGCCACUCUCUUGUUCAGAAGCUGCUCAUAAGUAAUUUUCAAAAGAGUUGCUCAAGGGAUUGGGUGGCCUAUUUGGAAUACAGUGGAAACAAAGCUUUAGGUUGUCAUGUUGAAAAAAUCAUGGCCUCAGCCUUUUGUAAAGAUGAGCACCACAAUAGGAGGUGUGCAGAACUGAGGAGGGGUCUCAGAUCCUACCUCAAUAGGGCAAUGCUAGACUUUAAGGAAAAAAUUAAGAAGUAUAAACGUCUUAGGGGUAUGGUUGUCAACUGUACUUCCUUCCCAAGACAAUGAUUCCCAAGACCCCCAUGCUGAGGACCUGCCUAACUGGAGAUCCUUCCCAGAACUCCCCUCAAGGUGUAGGAGUGCUCUUUCAGUCGGAGCUGCCACUGUUGAAAACGAGGUCCAUUUCAACCUACCCAUCACAAACUUCCUUGAUAAUGGAUGCCAGGGGCCGUUUCUGAAAGAGAGAGAGAGAAAGCCUUCAACAGCAGCAACAUCCUACUCAUGCCAAGGUUCUGACAAGAGGCCUGCCAAGCAGGGUCAAGCUGGGGCAUGAGAAUGAACUUCUUUCCUAACAGCUUUUGUUGAAGAGGAAGCCUCUCCCAAGCCAUGGUGACCGACCUUCCCUAGGGUGGGCCAGGCCCAAAGCUUAGCCUUCCUGUUGCUCGUUCUUACUCUUGAUGCCGGUGGUCCCCAUCCCUCAAGAUGUCCUCUGCCAUGCACUCCCCAGGUGCCUUUCCUUGAACCACUGCUUCUCACUUCAGGAGCAUACCUGGUCGAUUUCAAGGAGCUGGGCGUUAGCACCUGGCCACUCAAUGGCCACUUUGACAAUGUCUGACGGUGGUGGCAUCGUUCCCAAUGGGCUCUAAUUCUGCGAGACAAAAACACAGACACGGCUGCCUGGGGAGAAAGAAUCAGAAAGGUGGAAAAAGAGUAUUUCUUCAUUUUUCACUCUUGUUACAUGUUUUGAAGAGUUUGAAGACAGACACUGCAUAAAGUAACACAUGAAACUACCUGGUUUGAAUUUUUCUAGAUCAUACCACAACUUCUGCUUAGGAUUUUGUCUCUUGAGAUUAAAUCAGCAAGAAGAAAUGGGACAAACUAUCUAUCAUCCAUAGAUCAGCCAGUAGCAAGAUAUGCCAAUGUGGCACUUCAGUUUAAGAGUCAAGAAGACUCAGUGGUAGAGGAAUGUAUUUACUGCAAAUUCCUGUCUUGAGACCUUGGGAGGAGAGAAGCAUAUGCUCCGAGACAGAUAAGAAUAGACAGCCUUUUCUUGGUUGAGUGGUUAGCUGGAGGAGCCAGGCUACUUCUUUCUGCAGUCAUCCUAGGAAGAUCCCAGCAUCAGCAGGGCCCAGCUACAUGCUCUCUUGCUUCCUCCCCACUCAUCGAUGCCACCCCUUUCCCCUCAAAGGACACAAUGCAAAGCCUCCUCUGUGUGGGACGACAUCAGAAAAUGGGGAAGAUAACUGGGACAGGAAAUGCUAUUUUCGUCCCUACUGCCAAGGGCAAGGGCGGCUGACAACUCAAGUGGAGAGAGGUAAGGAUAUCCUCACACAAGGGCCCCUCUUAUAAGGACAAGGCUUUGCAAGUACCUCUGACCCCCUCCCCCACUUCUCUCCAAAAUAAAGGAAAAUAAAUCAUCCUGAGCAAGUCUGGAAGAUGGGCCCAUGUGACUGGUAUCCUAGGCAACUCUGAUAGCUUACUGGUAUUCCAAGCAGUAACUAAAGCAUUCUCUCUCCAAGGUCUGACGAAGGGAAGUCACUUGGCUGAUGGAUUAUUUCAAUGUAUAUUUACACUCCUUGCCUACAAGUUCAGGAGAGGCCCCUCUCUUAAUGAAAAAGACCUUUCUGCAUCCUCCAGGUUUAGCCAUUCACCCACAAUUCAUGCCUCGCUAAUGGGGACCACCUGCCUCUCCUGGCGUACAAAGCAUAGCUGUCGCGAGGCUAUUAUGCAUGUAUGCUAUCAAUUUUUCAGCCCAAACACAGAUGUCAGUUCUCACAGCCUGGUAAGUAUAAACCUCUUAGAUGAAAAGGAGUAAAAGUCCUGUCCCCCACAAGCCCAUCGGCCUCAGAAAGAGGGAUGCUUUCAUGACCAUUUCCUAGUCAGAAUGGGAUGCUUCAGAAGUCUACUGUCAUAAAAAGCCAGCAUUUCCAGAACAUGACAAUGUAAAGGAACUAGUUUUCCAAGUGCUUUCACUUAUUUUAUUGUGUCCUCCCAGCAGCCCCACGAAUUAGGCAGAACAGGAUUAUCACCUCCAUUUGAAGAUGGCACAACUAAAGCUCAGUGUUUUGUUAAGUGCCCAAGGUCACCCAGCUAGUAAGUCAUAACGGUUGACAGAACUUGGACUGGCUUCGGCCAAUGCUUUCCCCUUUUCCUUUGAGCCAGCCUCAACUUCUGUCCACUGCAAUUAAACGCAGCCUAAAGGGAUUGAAGUGGGUUGGCCUUAUGGCCCCCAAGGCUUCCAUAACUUCUGCAGCUCAUGGCAGAAUUUUUCACAUGUAAUUUUUAUGUGCCUAGACACACGACAAACCUCAGAAAAGAAACUGGCCCUAUCUGCAUAAUUUCUGGGGAAAAUGCUCUGCUCCAGUUACAGCAAGACAGGGAGUUCUUGUUCUAGGGGUGGCGCCAUCAAUCUCUGGAUGCUUAGAGAUGCAUCCUUAUCCUUAUCGGCAAAGCUGCUGCAAUUAGUAGACAGGACUGCACGGUUGUGAGGUCAAUUUUAAAAACUGAGAUAUAAUUUACAUACAAUAAAAUGCAGAGGGCUUAAGGGUACAUAUGUUUGUAUAUAUAAAUAUACAUCAUAUAAAUAUACACAUGCAUCUCCCUGUAACCAGCACUCAAAACGAGACACUGAACAUUUUCAUCACCCUAGAAAAUUACUUCAUACUUCCUCUUCCCGUCAAUCCUUCCAGUCCUUUAAAGGGGAAUUUCUGACUUAUCAUCAUCCAUGAGUUUUGCCUGGUUUUGUACUUCAUAUAAAUGGAACUAUACGAUAUGACUUUUUAGAUCAUUUGUUUAGUUUGGCUUCUUCUUAUUUUUAAAAUAAGCAGGCACAGAAGGUACAACAGAAAGAACACUGGGCUGGGAUAAUUGUCCCUGCUGAAACAAGUGACUGGAUUUAGAACCAAAGGCCUCAGGACCCAAUCCUAGGUCUUUCACAAUGUAUACAUGGCCCUUUAACCAAAUCUCAGUUUUCUUCUAUUGAAAGAUGUGAGUGUAGAACUAAAGCAUGUCUCAGGUGCCUUCUAAGUCUAAAAGUCCAUGAUUCUUAAGUGGAAUUUAAAAAAUCCAAGUGAGGAUGCCCAUUUUAAAGUCCUUACCAAAUGAAGUUACACCCUUCCUUAAUUUCGAUGGUGCUGCUAAGAAACAAACCCCAUGAUUUUUAACUCCUUUCUGAACGCCGUCUUUGGAGAUUAAGCUAAAGCUCAUUAGGUUAUAGCUAUUAUUUUCUCUUGACCCCAUAUGACAUAUCCUAGAUUGACUCUCUCUUUAUUAAAGUUAGCCCUGAAUGAUUCUCGGCUGUUCAAAAAUUCGUAUACAUUUUAAAGCAUGGAGAUUUGCAACCACCAAACUAUUUGAAAGAUAUUAAUAAGCCCCCAUUCUCAGUGACUCUGUCCUUCCCACAAAGCCCAGGCAGCCUCUCUGAACUGAAUGACACUCUCCACAACCCUGCCAUAGCUGAUGGGACUAAAGUGAAUACCCAACUUUAGCUGAACUAUUCCAGUUCUUUCUCUUGAAUUUAAAAGACAGAGACUGGCUGGGCGUGGUGGCUCAUGUCUAUAAUCGCAGCACUUUGGGAGGCCAAGGUGGGUGGAUCGCCUGAGGUCAGGAGUUUGAGACCACCCUGGCCAACAUGGCAAAACCCCGUCUCUAGUAAAAAUACAAAAAGUAGCCAGGCAUGAUGGUGGGCGCCUGUAAUCCCAACUACUCGGGAGACUGAGGCAGGGAGGACAGCUUGAACCCAGGAGGCGGAGGUUUCAGUGAGCACAGAUUGCACCAUUACGCUCCAGCCUGGGCGACGGAAUGAGACUCCAUCAUAAAUAAAUACACACAUACAUACAUACAAACAAAUAAAAGACACAGACUAAGGGAACUGGGUGAUAAUGACCCUGGAGAAGUAAGAUCAUAGUAAGCUUCAGAGCGAAUACCAUGGCAAGCCAAAGAUCCGUACGAGCCAAAGAUAUGGAGAAUAAAAAACCAAGAGCCUUUCAGAGGAAGUGAUUCUGCAGGAGGAAUCCAUAAAUAUCUAAAUGAACUGAGGCCAGAAAUCAGAAAGAGAUGGAAAAGCCAUUACCUGCUAACUUUCCAGAUUAUGUGGCUAUUACUUCCUAUGCUCGGGGUACCUGAAAGUCCACUGUAUCCUGCCAAUAAAACUCCUAUAAAUUAAGCUAGUCUAUGUUUCUACUCAUUGCAACUAAUACGCCUAAGACCACAGCUGCCCCCAAGCUCUGCAGGAACUCUAAAACGGAGGUCUGAGCAGACAGCAGCAUCACUAGCAUAUG